UACGGGGGGGGCAAGCGUUGUUCGGAAUUACUGGGCGUAAAGGGCUCGUAGGCGGCUAUUUAAGUCAGACGUGAAAUCCCUCGGCUUAACCGGGGAACGGCGUCUGAUACUGGACGGCUUGAGUUCGGGAGAGGGAUGCGGAAUUCCAGGUGUAGCGGUGAAAUGCGUAGAUAUCUGGAGGAACACCGGUGGCGAAGGCGGCAUCCUGGACCGAUACUGACGCUGAGGCGCGAAAGCUAGGGGAGCAAACGGG
This 253-nucleotide ribosomal RNA is filed under the name uncultured bacterium. RNAcentral describes it as "partial 16S ribosomal RNA". It matches the Rfam family "Bacterial small subunit ribosomal RNA", at positions 524 to 776 of the family's 1533-position model. The record is from RNAcentral.